Molecule: ribosomal RNA, 264 nt
Filed under: uncultured bacterium
Lineage: Bacteria
Description: partial 16S ribosomal RNA
Rfam family: Bacterial small subunit ribosomal RNA
Source: RNAcentral
GUCCACGCCGUAAACGAUGUCAACUAGCAGUUGGUCCUAUUUACAGGAUUAGUGGCGCAGCUAACGCAUUAAGUUGACAGCCUGGGGAGUACGGCCGCAAGGUUAAAACUCAAAUGAAUUGACGGGGGCCCGCACAAGCGGUGGAGCAUGUGGUUUAAUUCGAUGCAACGCGAAGAACCUUACCUACCCUUGACAUCCAGAGAAUCUGUUAGAGAUAGUAGAGUGCCUUCGGGAACUCUGAGACAGGUGCUGCAUGGCUGUCGU